RNAcentral lists this ribosomal RNA (773 nucleotides) under uncultured prokaryote. RNAcentral describes it as "bacterial SSU rRNA". It matches the Rfam family "Bacterial small subunit ribosomal RNA", at positions 695 to 1482 of the family's 1533-position model. The record is from RNAcentral.
UNUCACGAAGAACUCCGAUUGCGAAGGCAGCUUGCUGGACUGUAACUGACGCUGAGGCACGAAAGCGUGGGGAUCAAACAGGAUUAGAUACCCUGGUANNCCACGCCGUAAACGAUGAAUGCUAGCUGUUAGCGAUAUACUGUUAGCGGCACAGAGAAAUCGUUAAGCAUUCCACCUGGGGAGUACGCCGGCAACGGUGAAACUCAAAGGAAUUGACGGGGGCCCGCACAAGCGGAGGAACAUGUGGUUUAAUUCGAUGAUACGCGAGGAACCUUACCUGGGCUUAAAUUGCAGUGGAAUAACGUGGAAACAUGUUAGCCUUCGGGCCGCUGUGAAGGUGCUGCAUGGUUGUCGUCAGCUCGUGCCGUGAGGUGUCGGCUUAAGUGCCAUAACGAGCGCAACCCUCAUCGAUAGUUACUAACAGGUUAAGCUGAGGACUCUAUCGAGACUGCCGACGUAAGUCGUGAGGAAGGUGGGGAUGACGUCAAAUCAGCACGGCCCUUACGUCCAGGGCUACACACGUGUUACAAUGGGGGGUACAAAGGGCAGCUACCUGGCGACAGGAUGCUAAUCUCAAAAACCUCUCUCAGUUCGGAUUGGAGUCUGCAACCCGACUCCAUGAAGCUGGAUUCGCUAGUAAUCGCGCAUCAGCCACGGCGCGGUGAAUACGUUCCCGGGCCUUGUACACACCGCCCGUCAAGCCAUGGGAGCCGGGGGGACCUGAAGUAUGCAACCGUAAGGAGCGUCCUAGGGUAAAACUGGUGACUGGGGCU